Long non-coding RNA from Pseudophryne corroboree (corroboree frog), 1954 nucleotides. RefSeq lists it as uncharacterized. The record is from RefSeq and is a predicted model, not a curated record. Lineage: Eukaryota; Metazoa; Chordata; Amphibia; Anura; Myobatrachidae. The transcript is spliced from 2 exons.
CGUGGCGCCGGCUGCCGCCACGCCCGCCCCGGCUGCAUCAGCAUGGCAGGUUUUCCCCCCGGCAUCAGAGCCCUGCUUGGGCGCCCCCUGGGCGUCGGCUGCCCCGCCGCCAUGGGCGGCGCCCUCGCUUACAGGGUAUCAGUCUCCCCACGCCCUCCACGGUCCUUUGCAAUGCGGGUCCACGCAGGCGUCCGUAUCGACGGCUUAUUUUACGCACGGCGGGGCGCUCGCGGUAACAGCUCAGCAAGGCUACGCGGGGAGCCAGUCCUUCCCCGGGGGGUUUGCGUGGCCUCCGGCCCCAGCAUUCCCUUUUGCCGCCAGUAUGCCUUCCAUGGGUUUCUUGACCACGGCCGACACACAGUUUUCCCCGCGUGGGGCCAGCGCGUGCGCCGGCGGGCAGUCCACGUGGUCGGUCGGGGGACCCCGAGUCGCGGUGCCCAUGCCGGCCUUUGCGGGCCUGCAGCCAGGACAGGCACCGGGCGGGGGGUAUCAGGUGGCACAAGGUUGGCCCCCUCUCCCGGCACCCCCUCAGUUCCUUCCGGCUUCAUACGGAGGGGCAGGAGCAGGCGUCUGCCUGCCGCAUGCGGCUUGGCGGCCAUCUUACCCCGCGAUUUUUGGCGCAGCAAGCGGGUCGGCCUUUACGCAGUCGAUCGGGUACACCUCGGCGGGGGCCCCCUCCCUACAGUUGCCGGGCGGCCAUCCGCCGCAGAGCGGAGGGGCGGUCCCUCCGCCGCCGCAAUUGCGGGCAAGUGUUAAUAAUGUUCUGGUUCCCCCUGUGCCUGUGGUCCCCUCUUCUUCUCCCUCACAGGUCCCGCCUAGUUCGGGGGCUACAACCGGCAUGAGGCGAAGAUCACGGACAAGCGGGACGGCGAACGUGGAGGUACGGCCAUCAGCGGAGGCGGGUGCAGCGGACGAAGAGGUUCCGGGUCCUUCGAACUCCGCUGUCAUCAAUUUUGGAGACCACAUAUGGAUGGUUGGUCAUUCAUACGUUUUUUGGGCAGAGAAACAUCCCAUGGCGGCUAGGGCGAAUGAGAUUUUUGGGUCCAGGCAGUUUAGAUGGCUAGGUGUUAGGGGCAUGUUAUGGGGUGAUUUGUUGCGCGUCCUGUUUGCACGGGAGCGCCGCUGGGGUCGCCCCAGUUGUAUUAUCAUCCAUCUGGGUGGUAAUGAUCUGGGCCGAGUGAAAGGCAUAGACUUGAUUUUGUCUAUAAAGGCGGAUGUAGUGGCUAUACGUUGUCACUGGCCUGGGGUAUGCAUUGUCUGGUCGGAAAUGGUGCCCCGUUUCCAUUGGCGUGGUGCGGUGCGUUUCUCGGCGCUGGAGAAAGCACGCAAAAAGGUGAACUCGACGGUGUCUCUGUUUGUCAAGGCCAUAGGCGGAGUGGCAAUUAAGCAUCCUCUGCUGGUGCUGCGGAACAGACAGUUCUAUAGAGACGAUGGGGUUCACCUUUCUCCGGAAGGAGUGCAGUUUUUUCUGGAAGAUAUUUUCGGUCUUUUUCGGUAGAGCUAGUUUGUUUCUGGUUGGUUAAGUUUCUGUUUGCGGAUGGCGGUGGCGGUUUGGUAAACCUUGGUGGCGGGAAAUCGCUGCCAACCAGCUGUCACACAGGCAUAAGUGGUCAUUGUGGGGCUCCCUCUUUAAAUGGACGGCAGGUGUGUCCUUUUCUUGCGGUUGGACAUUUAGACGUUCCCCUGCGGGAACCGAACGUUUGCCAGAGAAAGAGGGGUAAGGCCAGCACAAUGCGGGUUAUGCGGGAAGGAGGCGGGGUAUGUGUACUCCCCUCCUUGGUUUGGUGGUUUCCAUCUAGGUGACGGGUGCUGGUGGUUUGGCAGCGGUUUUCUGUUUUUGCCAUCCUCCAAACUAGAGUUAAUUAUAUAUUCAAUUUCAAUUCUAAUUCGGCCUCAAUUAUUAGUUUAAAGAGUUGGUCAGCGAUUAAUAAACAUCGUCUGACCUUUAACUCCA